CCUGCCCACUGAUAUAAAUUAAAGGGCCGCGGUAUUUUAACCGUGCGAAGGUAGCAUAAUCAUUAGUCUUUUAAUUGGGGGCUUGUAUGAACGGCUGGACAAAAGAAAGACUGUCUAUAGAUAAAAUUUGAAUUUAACUUUUAAGUGAAAAGGCUUAAAUUAACUAAAGGGACGAUAAGACCCUGUAAAGCUUUAUACAUGACUAGUUUAAUUUAAAGCUAAUAUUAAAGGAUAAAGCUGGGGAAGGUAUUUUAUUGGGGAGAUAAAAAUAUAAUUAUGGAGUAACUGUUUUAAUAAUAUACUUUGAUUUUUGAAUAAGAAAAAAAAUUGAUCCUAUUUAUGGAUUUAAAGAUUAAGUUACUUUAGGGAUAACAGCGUAAUUUUUUUUGAGAGCCCAUAUCGAAAAAAGAGUUUGCGACCUCGAUGUUGAAUUAAAUUAUCUUUAUAAUGAAGAAGUUAUACAAGAAAGCCUGUUCGACUUUUAAAUUUUUACGUGAUCUGGUGU
Molecule: ribosomal RNA, 505 nt
Filed under: Avotrichodactylus oaxensis
Lineage: Eukaryota; Metazoa; Arthropoda; Malacostraca; Decapoda; Trichodactylidae
Description: partial large subunit ribosomal RNA
Rfam family: Bacterial large subunit ribosomal RNA
Source: RNAcentral